Molecule: unclassified non-coding RNA, 33 nt
Filed under: Klebsiella pneumoniae subsp. pneumoniae BJ1-GA
Lineage: Bacteria; Pseudomonadati; Pseudomonadota; Gammaproteobacteria; Enterobacterales; Enterobacteriaceae
Description: ctRNA_pT181
Source: RNAcentral
UAUCGCCGGUAAUGCAUACGGGUUCAAGUGAGU